Molecule: ribosomal RNA, 486 nt
Filed under: uncultured bacterium
Lineage: Bacteria
Description: bacterial SSU rRNA
Rfam family: Bacterial small subunit ribosomal RNA
Source: RNAcentral
UGAACGCUAGCUACAGGCUUAACACAUGCAAGUCAGGGGCAGCGGGAUUGAAGCUUGCUUCAAUUGCCGGCGACCGGCGCACGGGUGAGUAACGCGUAUCCAACUUCCGUACACUCAGGGAUAGCCUUUCGAAAGAAAGAUUAAUACCUGAUGGUAUGAUGAGAUUGCAUGAUAGCAUCAUUAAAGAUUUAUCGGUGUACGAUGGGGAUGCGUUCCAUUAGGUAGUAGGCGGGGUAACGGCCCACCUAGCCUACGAUGGAUAGGGGUUCUGAGAGGAAGGCCCCCCACAUUGGAACUGAGACACGGUCCAAACUCCUACGGGAGGCAGCAGUGAGGAAUAUUGGUCAAUGGACGAGAGUCUGAACCAGCCAAGUAGCGUGCAGGAUGACGGCCCUAUGGGUUGUAAACUGCUUUUAUAAGGGAAUAAAGUGGGAGUCGUGACUCUUUUUGCAUGUACCUUAUGAAUAAGGACCGGCUAAUUCCGUG